This 470-nucleotide long non-coding RNA is filed under the name Phaseolus vulgaris (common bean). RNAcentral's name for it is "long non-coding RNA (PVUL_LNC004412)". The record is from RNAcentral. Lineage: Eukaryota; Viridiplantae; Streptophyta; Magnoliopsida; Fabales; Fabaceae.
CGGUACACAAGCCCCCCAGUCUUAAGCUGAAGACUUGUCUUCAGCGCAAAGACUAAGGCCUCGCCCACGCCGUCCACGUGUCACCCUGGUGACGUGUCAUUCCCUGCUGACUUAACACUUCUCGAAUUAUUGACGUGACACUCUCUGAACCAUGGGGGUGCCCUUAAUGGCUGAUUGGACAUCCUCUGAAGCGGGGAAAGUAACACCUUUUGGGGCCACGCUUAAUCGCGUGCCACGUGGCUCAUCACACGGCCAGCCUCUAGAGUCCCUUGCGCUCCCCUUGAGCGCUUAAUCCUUUGACACGCGGCACGAUCACACGGUCCCCAAUUAGCGCCUCUUGGGUUGCAAAUGUAACGUUCAAGUUACCCAAAACCCCGCGCUCAAACCACUGUUUCAUCCAUUCUCUCUGCAUUUCUGCACUGUUCAUCGCCUUCGAGCCCUUUCUCUGCAAUCACUGCUCUUUCCUUCGC